RNAcentral lists this ribosomal RNA (253 nucleotides) under uncultured prokaryote. RNAcentral's name for it is "partial 16S ribosomal RNA". It matches the Rfam family "Bacterial small subunit ribosomal RNA", at positions 524 to 776 of the family's 1533-position model. The record is from RNAcentral.
UACGUAGGGGGCCAGCGUUGCUCGGAAUUACUGGGCGUAAAGGGUUCGUAGGUGGUGCGGCAAGUUGGAAGUGAAAUCUCUGGGCUUAACUCAGAGGCUGCUUUCAAAACUGCCGUGCUCGAGUGCGGGAGAGGCCAGUGGAAUUGCAGGUGUAGCGGUGAAAUGCGUAGAUAUCAGGAGGAACACCUGUGGCGAAAGCGGCUCACUGGACCAUAACUGACGCUGAUGCACGAAAGCUAGGGGAGCAAACAGG